This 136-nucleotide microRNA precursor is filed under the name Hordeum vulgare. Its description in RNAcentral is "microRNA MIR1122". It matches the Rfam family "MIR1120/MIR1122 microRNA precursor family". The record is from RNAcentral. Lineage: Eukaryota; Viridiplantae; Streptophyta; Magnoliopsida; Poales; Poaceae.
UAAAUACUCCUUCCGUUUCAAAAUUCUUGUCUUAGAUUUGUCUAAAUAUAAAUGUAUCUAAUCAUGUUUUAGUAUUUAGGUACAUUCAUUUUUAGACAAACCUAAAACAAGAAUUUUGAAACGAAGGGAGUAUAAG